UUCCAGCCACAGAAUCAUAUCAAAUAAGAAUCUGAACGUGAAACAUUUAAAUCAUUUACAAGAGACAGAAAUGAAAAGCAAAAUUAUUUUCUUCUAUUUUGUCAUUUGCUUGGGGCAGGCUGUAUUUUCCGAGCACUGUGACUGUAAAAAUAAGUGUGAAUGCAAUGGGGGAGACAAUUGUGAACCGGCCAACUCAGGCUUUCAACCUCAAUUAAAUGAAAUCAACAAACCACAAAAUGGACAGCUUCAUCAACCUUUGUUUGAUCAAAGUCCAUUUGGCCAACUUAACGCACAGAACCAGCCAAGAAGAGGUCCACCAAAUUUUCGGCCAAAGCAUACACCGAAAAAUGACAAGCCAAACAGAAAACCUGAACACUUACCUAUUCAAAUGGUUCCAGACAACAGCCGUCCAGCUAAUCAAAUACCAUGAUUGACCAUAUUAAAAACUAAAAUAUGUCGAAAAUUCGAUAAAUUAAUAUUCUUUGUAAAACAAAAUUUCUCUUUAAAAUAAACAAUUGGCGCAAUUUUUAA
Long non-coding RNA from Contarinia nasturtii (swede midge), 531 nucleotides. RefSeq lists it as uncharacterized. The record is from RefSeq and is a predicted model, not a curated record. Lineage: Eukaryota; Metazoa; Arthropoda; Insecta; Diptera; Cecidomyiidae. The transcript is spliced from 2 exons.